Molecule: long non-coding RNA, 1336 nt
Filed under: Citrus x clementina
Lineage: Eukaryota; Viridiplantae; Streptophyta; Magnoliopsida; Sapindales; Rutaceae
Description: Citrus clementina (C. clementina) long non-coding RNA (CCLE_LNC003008)
Source: RNAcentral
GUGGCACUUGUGGGGGCUUAUUCAGCUAUAGGUCAAGUUCGGAGGACCCCAAAAUUCGAGGCUCGUCGGGCCACGGCCACGGCGGCUCGCCCGGGGCCGGUUGCGUGGCCAUGUGGUUCGUCAACGGUGUGGCGUCGGCUUUCUUUGCUUCUUUAGAGCGCUGUUCUUGCAUCCGCAUAGCCACCGCCGAAGACGACGUGGAUCAGGAAAACGACGUGCCGUUGAUUCACAACGAUGGGAAUGUAAUCGUGAGGCCGCAUGAUAUUGAUGGCGGCACCCGCAGGAGAAGGGCGACUGCAAAAGGAAAAGGCAAGAACAAGGGAUAAAGCUCAAUUAAUAUUAUACUGUUAUUUAUUAGGUACGUGAAAAUUUUAUAUAUGGGUAAUGGGUUCUCUCUCUCUUUUUUUUUUUUUCCUUUUUUUCAAAAUUAAUAUGUCAUUAUUGUCAUGUUCAUGUGGUUCCUCUGGCCUUGUGGGAUAAUUUAAAUACGUGUUAAUUGAAUAUGAUCAAAGUGAAUGAAAUAAACAAUUAUUUUCAUCAUCUAUUUAACAUAUAUGAGUGUGAGUGUGAGUGUGUGUUUUCAUUUAUAAAAGUUAUAUUCCAUAAUUACGUAGUGCUAUAUAUACGUGUCAUUUCUGGGGAUCGAUUUUUAACUUGCUUAUCAUUUUAUUAACUAAUUAAUUUUGUGGAUUAAUUAGGUGAUUAUUUUGGGAUUGAAUAUUACAGUUUAAUCACAGAGAUGAGAUCCUUCUGUCAAUCAAAGUCUACUAUACAAAAAAAUCUAAUUAAGAAGAAACAUACGGUAUAGAUAUACAUUUUUUUUUUUUUUUUGCAGAAUCUCUUUGUCCCUGGGGGUCAGUCUGAAGGAUGAAAAUGCAAUCCACCAUGCAUUGAUUUAUCGUUUCCUGGAUUCGAAAGAUUCAAACGUUUUCUUUCUUAUUACAUAUUCGAAAUUAAAGAGGAAGGUGCGGAUUUGACUGCCAUUAUAUUAAAUUUAAAAAAUAAAAAAAAAAUAAUUUUUCUAUAAUCCCACCACUAGUGAGAGUUUAUUAGUGUUGGUUAUCAAGUUGCUAUUAUUGGUUCAAGCUAGUUUCAUUUUUUCACCUUGUUAUCAUAAUAGGGUUGGUGGGAAAGCAACUGAAAAUGAAAUCUCCCUCGACAAUUAUUAACCAUCAACAAAAAUUAGUGUUAAUUAUAAAGUUCAUUAAUUGUUUUUAACUCUAAAUUUUAGCUAUUAAGAAAAAAAUAUAUUGGGCUUCUUUUUUUUUUUUUAAUGUUUUGUGCUGUUAUUGUGUUUAACAUUGAAGCGUUGGGAGAAUUCUAGCGAAUAUUUUUG